RNAcentral lists this ribosomal RNA (432 nucleotides) under Theileria orientalis. RNAcentral's name for it is "SSU rRNA". It matches the Rfam family "Eukaryotic small subunit ribosomal RNA", at positions 548 to 1018 of the family's 1831-position model. Lineage: Eukaryota; Apicomplexa; Aconoidasida; Piroplasmida; Theileriidae. The record is from RNAcentral.
UUGGAGGGCAAGUCUGGUGCCAGCAGCCGCGGUAAUUCCAGCUCCAAUAGCGUAUAUUAAAAUUGUUGCAGUUAAAAAGCUCGUAGUUGAAUUUCUGCUGCAUUUCAUUUCUCUUUCUGAGUUUGUUUUUGCGGCUUAUUUCGGUUUGAUUUUUUCUUUCCGGAUGAUUACUUUGAGAAAAUUAGAGUGCUCAAAGCAGGCUUUUGCCUUGAAUAGUUUAGCAUGGAAUAAUAAAGUAGGACUUUGGUUCUAUUUUGUUGGUUUUAGGUACCAAAGUAAUGGUUAAUAGGAACAGUUGGGGGCAUUCGUAUUUAACUGUCAGAGGUGAAAUUCUUAGAUUUGUUAAAGACGAACUACUGCGAAAGCAUUUGCCAAGGAUGUUUUCAUUAAUCAAGAACGAAAGUUAGGGGAUCGAAGACGAUCAGAUACCGU